GAAAAAUUGUAAAACAAAAAACAUUAAAAUUGGAUUUCGGUGUGUACGUGUCGUCGCGCCACCCAACGACGGGAAAUGCGAUCCCCGCGGAAACAUCCCGUCAAUUUCCGUUUCGGACUUUCCCCAACAUUCGAGUCAAUAGACGAAUCAACGAGAUAGCGCCAUAUGCAAAUACAAGAAACAGAUUUCCUUU
Daphnia magna is the source of this 193-nucleotide long non-coding RNA. RefSeq lists it as uncharacterized. The record is from RefSeq and is a predicted model, not a curated record. NCBI's taxonomy places the organism in Eukaryota, Metazoa, Arthropoda, Branchiopoda, Diplostraca, Daphniidae. The transcript has 2 exons.